RNAcentral lists this ribosomal RNA (249 nucleotides) under uncultured bacterium. Its description in RNAcentral is "partial 16S ribosomal RNA". It matches the Rfam family "Bacterial small subunit ribosomal RNA", at positions 15 to 253 of the family's 1533-position model. The record is from RNAcentral.
GAUCCUGGCUCAGGAUGAACGCUAGCUACAGGCUUAACACAUGCAAGUCGAGGGGCAGCAUGGACCCAGCUUUGCUGGGUUUGAUGGCGACCGGCGCACGGGUGAGUAACGCGUAUCCAACCUGCCCUUUACUCCGGGAUAGUCUUCUGAAAGGGAGUUUAAUACCGGAUGUGUUUGUCUUUCCGCAUGGGAGCGACAAAUAAAGAUUGAUUGGUAAAGGAUGGGGAUGCGUCCCAUUAGCUUGUUGGG